Molecule: ribosomal RNA, 920 nt
Filed under: uncultured Bacillota bacterium
Lineage: Bacteria; Bacillati; Bacillota
Description: bacterial SSU rRNA
Rfam family: Bacterial small subunit ribosomal RNA
Source: RNAcentral
UGGAUCCAGACUUUGAUCAUGGCUCAGGAUGAACGCUGGCGGCGUGCUUAACACAUGCAAGUCGAACGGAGAACCCUUGACGGAGGCUUCGGACAACUGCGGGGAAUACCUAGUGGCGGACGGGUGAGUAACGCGUGAGCAACCUGCCUUGGAGUGGGGAAUAACAGAUGGAAACAUCUGCUAAUACCGCAUGAAGCAGUUGAGUCGCAUGGCUGUGACUGCCAAAGAUUUAUCGCCCUGAGAUGGACUCGCGUCUGAUUAGCUAGUUGGCGGGGUAACGGCCCACCAAGGCGACGAUCAGUAGCCGGACUGAGAGGUUGGCCGGCCAUAUUGGGACUGAGACACGGCCCAGACCCCUACGGGAGGCAGCAGUGGGGAAUAUUGGGCAAUGGGCGAAAGCCUGACCCAGCAACGCCGCGUGAAGGAAGAAGGCUUUCGGGUUGUAAACUUCUUUUCUGAGGGACGAAGCAAGUGACGGUACCUUAGGAAUAAGCCAUGGCUAACUACGUGCCAGCAGCCGCGGUAAUACGUAGGUGGCAAGCGUUAUCCGGAUUUACUGGGUGUAAAGGGCGUGUAGGCGGGACUGCAAGUCAGAUGUGAAAACCAUGGGCUCAACCUGUGGCCUGCAUUUGAAACUGUAGUUCUUGAGUACUGGAGAGGCAGACGGAAUUCCUAGUGUAGCGGUGAAAUGCGUAGAUAUUAGGAGGAACACCAGUGGCGAAGGCGGUCUGCUGGACAGCAACUGACGCUGAGGCGCGAAAGCGUGGGGAGCAAACAGGAUUAGAUACCCUGGUAGUCCACGCUGUAAACGAUGGAUACUAGGUGUGGGGGGACUGACCCCCUCCGUGCCGCAGUUAACACAAUAAGUAUCCCACCUGGGGAGUACGAUCGCAAGGUUGCAACUCAAAUGAAUUGACGGA